RNAcentral lists this ribosomal RNA (502 nucleotides) under Vermamoeba vermiformis. RNAcentral describes it as "SSU rRNA". It matches the Rfam family "Eukaryotic small subunit ribosomal RNA", at positions 1215 to 1719 of the family's 1831-position model. The record is from RNAcentral. Lineage: Eukaryota; Tubulinea; Echinamoebida; Vermamoebidae.
UUACGAGGUCAGGACACUGUGAGGAUUGACAGAUUGAAAGCUCUUUCUUGAUUCAGUGGGUGGUGGUGCAUGGCCGUUCUUAGUUGGUGGAGUGAUUUGUCUGGUUAAUUCCGUUAACGAACGAGACCUUAACCUGCUAAAUAGUCACGCGAACCGGUCCGCAAGGGCUCAAAGUUCGCGGCUCGACUUCUUAGAGGGACUAUUCGCACCCGCCAGCGAAUGGAAGUUUGAGGCAAUAACAGGUCUGUGAUGCCCUUAGAUGUUCUCGGCCGCACGCGCGUUACACUGACGGAGUCAACGAGCGUUUUUCCUUGCCCGACAGGGCUGGGUAACCUCCUGAAACUCCGUCGUGAUGGGGAUAGAUCAUUGCAAUUAUUGAUCUUGAACGAGGAAUUCCUAGUAAGCGCGAGUCAUCAACUCGCGCUGAUUACGUCCCUGCCCUUUGUACACACCGCCCGUCGCUCCUACCGAUUGAACGGUCCGGCGAGAACUCGGGAUGGUC